AACGAACGCUGGCGGCAUGCCUAAUACAUGCAAGUCGAACGAGACCUUCGGGUCUAGUGGCGCACGGGUGCGUAACGCCUGGGAACCUGCCCUUAGGUUCGGAAUAACUCCCCGAAAGGGGUGCUAAUAACGGAUAAUGUCAUCGGACCAAAGAUUUAUCGUCUCUGGACGGGCCCGCGUUGGAUUCACUAGCUGGUAGAGUAGACGCCUACCGAGGCUAUGAUCCAUAGCUGGUCUGAGAGGAUGAUCAGCCACACUGGGACUGAGACACGUCCCAGACUCUUACGGAAGGCAGCAAGGCGGAACAUUGGACAAUGGGCGAGAGCCUGAGGCAGCAGGGCCGCGAGGGUGAUUAAGGCCUGAGGGUUGUGAAGCACUGUUGACCGUGAAGAUAAUGACAGUACCGGACGAAUAAGCGCCGGCUAACUCCGUG
This 433-nucleotide ribosomal RNA is filed under the name uncultured bacterium. RNAcentral describes it as "partial 16S ribosomal RNA". It matches the Rfam family "Bacterial small subunit ribosomal RNA", at positions 29 to 507 of the family's 1533-position model. The record is from RNAcentral.